Molecule: non-coding RNA, 148 nt
Organism: Caenorhabditis elegans
Lineage: Eukaryota; Metazoa; Nematoda; Chromadorea; Rhabditida; Rhabditidae
Source: Ensembl
AUCGUUUUUUGUUGAAAUCCAGCCGUUGCUUUAUCCACCCGGCUCACUUCUUGCGCUUCUCGCGAUCUUCUCUUUUCCUGUGUAACUCGAAAUUGGGUUUCAAGAGGCAGCACCGCUCAAUUCAAUAUAGAAUCUGGGGUCGGUGAAC